CCUACGGGUGGCUGCAGUAAGGAAUAUUGGUCAAUGGGCGCGAGCCUGAACCAGCCAAGUAGCGUGAAGGAUGACUGCCCUACGGGUUGUAAACUUCUUUUAUAAAGGAAUAAAGUGAGGCACGUGUGCCUUUUUGUAUGUACUUUAUGAAUAAGGAUCGGCUAACUCAGUGCCAGCAGCCGCGGUAAUACGGAGGAUCCGAGCGUUAUCCGGAUUUAUUGUGUUUAAAGGGAGCGUAGAUGGGUUGUUAAGUCAGUUGUGAAAGUUUGCGGCUCAACCGUAAAAUUGCAAUUGAUACUGGCAGUCUUGAGUACAGUUGAGGUAGGCGGAAUUCGUGGUGUAGCGGUGAAAUGCUUAGAGAUCACGAAGAACACCGAUUGCGAAGGCAGCUUACUAAACUGCCACUGACAUUGAUGCGCGAAAGUGUGGGUAGCAAACAGGAUUAGAUACCCCAGUAGUC
This 460-nucleotide ribosomal RNA is filed under the name uncultured bacterium. Its description in RNAcentral is "partial 16S ribosomal RNA". It matches the Rfam family "Bacterial small subunit ribosomal RNA", at positions 338 to 795 of the family's 1533-position model. The record is from RNAcentral.